UGGAUUACAAAAACGCUCACAAGACGAAGAAUGCCUAGUCGCUAGUCCGUAGAUACAGUUGGCCAGCCUUGGUCAGCUUGAAACUUUACAAAUUCAGCGAGAAGCUUGAUUUCUUCGUCCUGCAACCGCGGUCCAAAGGUACAUUGUCCUCUCGGUGUGCAUUUCUCACCAAAUCCCUGAAGUAAAUCAUCAGACAUACUUCAGAUCAUCUAGCUAAGUGGAAGACAAUUCUCAGUUUUAUACAAGGAAUUUCUUCAAGGAGAUCUCACCGGCAUUCUUCCCUUUCCAAAAAUAUUAUAGAUGCACACAGCACACAGUUCUUUGAGUGUCCAGCAUAAGUUAUAUUACCUUUCGAGGUCUUUUGUGAAAAGCGUUGCACCCUGGAAAAGUGGAAAGAUAUGAGCUAAUUGACUCGAAGGUAAUGAAAGAUGACAUGAGAAGAGAAUCAAGAAUGGUUUUUAGCUCACAGGUUGAAUAAUGUUUCCACCUGUAUCAUGACACCCGAUACAAGCUCUAUUAAACAAUGUAGCUCCUCUCUGUAUAUCCAAAGUCUGCCCAAGAGAUUCUAC
This 569-nucleotide long non-coding RNA is filed under the name Arabidopsis thaliana (thale cress). RNAcentral's name for it is "ncRNA (AT5G06695)". The record is from RNAcentral. Lineage: Eukaryota; Viridiplantae; Streptophyta; Magnoliopsida; Brassicales; Brassicaceae.